This 1281-nucleotide ribosomal RNA is filed under the name Anoplotermes sp. G17-067. RNAcentral describes it as "16S ribosomal RNA". The stretch from base 1042 to 1202 matches the Rfam family "Bacterial large subunit ribosomal RNA", at positions 2473 to 2632 of the family's 2925-position model. The record is from RNAcentral. Lineage: Eukaryota; Metazoa; Arthropoda; Insecta; Blattodea; Termitidae.
GUAGUAUCUCAUGUUGUUUGAUUGAAGAAUCAUUUUGUUGUUGUAUAUUUGUGAUUUAAUUCUUUUUGCUAUAGAUUAUUUGUACCGUAGGGGGUUGUAAUGUUUUAAUUUAUUUUUAGAAGCUGAUUUUGUUUGUUGUACCUUGUGUAUCAGGGUUCAUUGAAUUUUAUUAUUUAUUUUUAUUUCCCGAUUUUGAAGGAGUUAAUGGUUUAUUUUAGUUAUUGUUUCAUCAAUAUUAAUAAUAUUCUGUUGGUAAUGAGAUGUUAUUCGUCUUUAAUGGUUUCUGGUUUUCCAAGAAAUGAAUUCAAUUCAUGCGUUUUGUUUAAUUUUUACUUUUGUAUUAUUUGUUUUUAUUUGGCGUUAAGAUUAAGGGGGAUUAGCUCCUUAUUUUAUUUUUAUAAUUUAUUUUCUUAUUUAGUUUUGUGGAUUUUAUGGUGAUUUUCAAUUUGAUUAUGUUAAAAUUUUAUUUAUUAUUUUGUUUAUUUCUUUUCAAUUUAAUUUUUAUAUUGGAAUGUUUUCUUUAAUUUUGUCUGGGUGGUGAUUAUUGUGUAAUUAGUAAAUUUCAUUUUGUGUUGUUUAGGUUGAUUGUUAAUUUCUUUUGAGGAAUUCGGCAAAACUUCAUGUCCGCCUGUUUAACAAAAACAUCUUUUCUUGUUAGUUUUUGAAGUAUGGCCUGCCCACUGACGUUUAUUUGUUGAAGGGCCGCGGUAUUUUGACCGUGCAAAGGUAGCAUAAUCAUUAGUUCUUUAAUUGUGAUCUGGUAUGAAUGGCUUGACGAGACAUGGACUGUCUUAAAAGUUGAAUGUUUAGUUGAAUUUGGUUUUUGAGUUAAAAUUCUUAAAUGUUUUUAUGGGACGAGAAGACCCUAUAGAGUUUGACACAUUUAGUCCCUUUCUGUUAUUUUGUUUGUUUGUUUUAUUAAUUGAUUUAUGUGUUUUGUUGGGGUGAUGGGAGGAAUUUAUUUAACUCCUCUUUAUUUUGUAUAUUUGUAUAUAAUUUUUUGAUCCAUUUAUUUUGAUUAUAAGAUUAAAUUACCUUAGGGAUAACAGCGUUAUCUUCCUUGAGAGUUCUUAUUGGCGGGGAGGUUUGCGACCUCGAUGUUGGAUUAAGGUUAAUUUUCGGUGUAGGAGCUGAAAGUGAUUGGGUCUGUUCGACCUUUAAAAUCUUACAUGAUCUGAGUUCAGACCGGCGUGAGCCAGGUUGGUUUCUAUCUAUAAUGUUUUAUUAUACCUUAGUACGAGAGGACCGGGUAUUUGGAAUAAUUUUGUUUAUGUGAUUAUU